Molecule: ribosomal RNA, 425 nt
Filed under: uncultured bacterium
Lineage: Bacteria
Description: partial 16S ribosomal RNA
Rfam family: Bacterial small subunit ribosomal RNA
Source: RNAcentral
GUAAGGAAUAUUGGACAAUGGGGGAAACCCUGAUCCAGCCAUGCCGCGUGAGUGAAGAAGGCCUUCGGGUUGUAAAACUCUUUCAGAUGUGAAGAUGAUGACGGUAACAUCAGAAGAAGCUCCGGCUAACUUCGUGCCAGCAGCCGCGGUAAUACGAAGGGAGCGAGCGUUGUUCGGAAUCACUGGGCGUAAAAAGUGCGUAGGCGGUUAUACAAGUCAGGAGUGAAAUCCCAGAGCUUAACUUUGGAAUUGCUUUUGAAACUGUAUAGCUAGAGUCCCGGAGGGGUUAAUGGAAUUCCGAGUGUAGAGGUGAAAUUCGCAGAUAUUCGGAGGAACACCAGUGGCGAAGGCGAUUAACUGGACGGGCACUGACGCUGAGGCACGAAAGCGUGGGGAUCAAACAGGAUUAGAUACCCCAGUAGUCC